Molecule: long non-coding RNA, 2235 nt
Organism: Piliocolobus tephrosceles (Ugandan red Colobus)
Lineage: Eukaryota; Metazoa; Chordata; Mammalia; Primates; Cercopithecidae
Source: Ensembl
UUAUAUGAGAGGUGAUAGUAACCUAAGUGAUAAUCAUAAUACAAAUAAUGAUCAUAAAAACAUUUACUCAAAUAUAUUUGAUUUACAUUAUAACUCUAAAGAAAACAAUAACAUCGCAACUUCGAAUUUUGCUGAAGCAACUGCUAACAAUAUUAAAAAAAGAAUUACUAUGGGUGAAAACUUUGAUAAUGUAUAUACUUCUGCAUUUAUUAAUAAUACAAUAAAUUCAAAUGAAAUGACAAGAUUACAAGAAAAAGAAAGUUAUAAAAUUUUUUUAAAUAUUAUAAAUGAAAGAAUGAAAAAUUUUAUAAAAAAUAAAAAUCCAAUAUAUGUUGAUAAUGCAUAUAAAUAUAGUUAUUCAGCAGAGGAUAAUAUAAUAGGGUAUAAGGAUAACCAAGCGAAAGGAUUAAAGAAUAUUAAUAUUUUAAGUAGCAUAAACGGGAUAAAUGACAUAAACAAUAACAAUAACAUAUUUCUUUAUGAUAACAAUAAUAAUAAUAAUAAUAAUAACAAUAAUAGUAGUAGUAGUAGUAGUAUUAGUAGUAGAAAAAGUAUUAUGAAUAAUAAGAACGAUAAAAUAACAGAAUAUAAUAAAAAUAUAAAUAAAGAAGAACCAAACAAAUUACAAAUAAUAGAAGAAAUAGAACAAUGUAUAGAUAUGGAUGAUAACACUCAUUCAAAGAAAAAUAUAAAUACAUCCGACCACAAUACUUCUAUUUAUUCUUAUUUUAAAAAAGGUGAAACAAGUAUAUACAACAUUAGUUCUAAUAAUAAUAAUGAACUUAUAAAAAAUAAGUAUGUCAAUCCUAAUUACAAUCAGUUAAAUAAUAACACAAAAAUAGAUAUUAAUUCAAAAAAUAAUAAUGAUAAUGGGUGGGAUGAUAACUUUUAUAAUAAUAAUUAUGACCGGUCAGAAUAUCAAAUUGAUAAUAUACAAAAUUUUUCAAUAUAUAAUAACGUUGAGAUGCUAAAUAGGAGUUUAAAUAUAAUAGAAGAAGGACUUAAGUCGGAAUAUAUGUCAAAAAACAACUCGUUUUUGGUAAAAAAAAACAAAGCAAGUGAUAGGUUAAUAGGUAAUGAUAACAGUAACAGCAAUGAAAGUGAUAAAAAUGGAGAUAAAAGUGGAAAUAGUAAUAUGGAAAAUAAUGAAGAAAACAACGACGAAAGUAAAAACGAAAAAGAUAAGAAAAGCAAUAACGAAAGUGAUAAGAAAAACGACUACAGUAACUAUUUUGUAACUAAAAAAAAAGAUACCACUAGUAAUGAUAAUAACAACGACAAUAACAACGACAAUAACAACGAUAAUAACAACGACAAUAACAACGACAAUGAUUAUGAUAAAACAAAUACAACAGUACCACAUGAAACUAUACAGCAAAAUAAUAUACAGCAAAAUAAUAUACAGAAAAAUAAUAUACAGAAAAAUAAUAUACAGCAAAAUAAUAUACAGCAAAAUAAUGUACAGCAAAAUAAAUAUACAACCAAUGUAAGAAACAGCAAUAUUUGUAGUAACGAUAUGCAGAUGCAUGAACUACAUAAUACCGAUAUAUAUACCUCGCAAUCGUUUAGUAGUCAUAACGAAUUACAAAAUGAUACUGUAGGAUACAUAAAUGAUUCACAUGUACAUUGUACUGAUAACAAUAGAAAUAACGAAACUAUGACAUAUGACAAUAAUUUAGGAGAAUAUAAACAAUGGCUCUAUAAUAGUAGUGAUGGAAGUAGUGAAAAUAUUAAUACAUGUACUAAUGUUGAAACAAAUGGAGUAGUGUUAAACUCGGGUUAUAUAAAGAAGAGCAUGGUAAAAAAUGUAGCAAAAGGUACGACUAAAAGUUAUGUUAAAAAUGCUGUAAAAAAUAUAACUAAAAAUGGUGCAAAAAAUAGUGUAUUCUCAAAAAAUAUUUCAAAAUUAAAUACUAUGCAUAAUCAUAACAUUAUUUUGAGGAAUAUUGGCACAAACAGUAGUAGCAUAAACAGUGGUGCUGAUAGCAGCAACAGUAUUAAUCAUUUUUUAAAUACACAGAAUAAUGUAAUAUAUUAUAAAAACAUGAAUGAUAAGUAUUGUGACAACAUUGUUUAUAAUAAACAGAAAAUAGGAAAUAUACAUAACAAAUUAAACACAUUAGAUAACCAUUUUAUUAACCAAAAUGAUUUAAUGGUAUCUAUGCAAAGUAAAAGUGGUAAAGAUGUGAUGACUGGUAACGUGGACAAUAAUAUGAACAAUAAUAUGAACAAUAA